RNAcentral lists this ribosomal RNA (456 nucleotides) under uncultured fungus. RNAcentral describes it as "bacterial SSU rRNA". It matches the Rfam family "Eukaryotic small subunit ribosomal RNA", at positions 248 to 698 of the family's 1831-position model. Lineage: Eukaryota; Fungi. The record is from RNAcentral.
UGCUUUUAAUCAAUUUUCGAAUCGCAUGGCCUGUUGUUGGCGAUGUUUCAUUCAAAUUUCUGCCCUAUCAACUUUCGAUGGUAGGAUCAGAGGCUACCAUGGUUUUAACGGGUAACGGGGAAUUACGGGUUCGACUUCCGGAGAGGGAGCCUGAGAAACGGCUACCACAUCCAAGGAAGGCAGCAGGCGCGCAAAAUUACCCAAUCCCGACACGGGGAGGUAGUGACAAUAAAUAACAAUAUAGGGCUCUUUUGGGUCUUAGUAAUUGGAAUGAGUACAAUUUAAAUCCCUUAACGAGGAACAAUUGGAGGGCAAGUCUAGGUGCCAGCAGCGCGGUAAUUCCAGCUCCAAUAGCGUAUAUUAAAGUUGUAUGCAGUUAAAAAGCUCGUAGUUGAACUUCAGACCUGGACGGACGAUCUGACAUCAAGGUAUGUACUGUCUUGGCUGAGGCUUGCA